CGCCUCUUGAAACAAACAUAAGAGGUCCCGCCUGCCCGGUGACUAUUAGUUUAACGGCCGCGGUAUUUUGACCGUGCAAAGGUAGCGCAAUCACUUGUCCUUUAAAUGAAGACCUGUAUGAAUGGCACCACGAGGGCUCAACUGUCUCCUUUCUCCUGUCAAUGAAAUUGAUCUCCCCGUGCAGAAGCGGGGAUUCCCCCAUAAGACGAGAAGACCCUAUGGAGCUUUAGGCGCCAGAACAGACUAUGUUAAGCACCCUAACACAAAAGACAAAACUAACUAGGCCCUGUUCCAAUGCCUUUGGUUGGGGCGACCGCGGGGAAACAAAAAACCCCCAUGUGGACUAAGAGCACCCUUCACUCUUACAACCAAGGGCCACAGCCCUAAGUAACAGAAUCUCUGACCAUAAAUGAUCCGGAAUAACCGAUCAACGAACCGAGUUACCCUAGGGAUAACAGCGCAAUCCCCUUCUAGAGUCCAUAUCGACAAGGGGGUUUACGACCUCGAUGUUGGAUCAGGACAUCCUAUUGGUGCAGCCGCUAUUAAGGGUUCGUUUGUUCAACGAUUAAAGUCCU
RNAcentral lists this ribosomal RNA (575 nucleotides) under Petenia splendida (bay snook). RNAcentral describes it as "partial 16S ribosomal RNA". It matches the Rfam family "Bacterial large subunit ribosomal RNA", at positions 1816 to 2597 of the family's 2925-position model. Lineage: Eukaryota; Metazoa; Chordata; Actinopteri; Cichliformes; Cichlidae. The record is from RNAcentral.